CAGAAAAUGAGGUGCCCCAGCACCUCCUAGGAUGCAAGUGUUUGCUGGUUUUUUCUGAUUGCAUGAGACAGGCACUAAAGCUGUCAGUGUGGUGAAAACCGCACUGUGUUGGAUCUUCACUGAGAGCUGCUUUUUCCUCUGUUUUCAUUUCUGUCAGCUGCAAUAUGAGGCUGCACCUCACCCCCUGUGCCAAACUGUCCUCGGUUGAGGAAAAACCAAUGGUCCUGAGUACCUGCACGGACAUCUCAGGUCCUUCAUGAGUGAACUACUCUCAGAAAGCUUCUGCAUCUUAUGAAAGACAAACAUGCAUCAUUCAUUAAAAAAAUGUUUGCUUUGGCUACAAAAGAUUGAAAAUGGUAAUUUGGCCUGCAGAGUACCUGAUGGGUUGAUUUGUAGAGCAUAUAAACUGACAGGGUAUGCAUCAGUAAGUUAGGAAACUGAGAUUCACAUCACUGCUCAA
This is a long non-coding RNA of Hirundo rustica (Barn swallow), 460 nucleotides long. RefSeq lists it as uncharacterized. Lineage: Eukaryota; Metazoa; Chordata; Aves; Passeriformes; Hirundinidae. The transcript is spliced from 3 exons. The record is from RefSeq and is a predicted model, not a curated record.